AUGCAAGUCUACUUGAACUUCGGUUUGGGUGGCGGACGGGUGAGUAACGCGUAAAGAACUUGCCUCACGGUUAGGGACAACAUUUGGAAACGAAUGCUAAUACCUGAUAUUAUGAUUUUAGGGCAUCCUAAGAUUAUGAAAGCUAUAUGCGCUGUGAGAGAGCUUUGCGUCCCAUUAGCUAGUUGGAGAGGUAACGGCUCACCAAGGCGAUGAUGGGUAGCCGGCCUGAGAGGGUGAACGGCCACAAGGGGACUGAGACACGGCCCUUACUCCUACGGGAGGCAGCAGUGGGGAAUAUUGGACAAUGGACCAAAAGUCUGAUCCAGCAAUUCUGUGUGCACGAUGACGUUUUUCGGAAUGUAAAGUGCUUUCAGUUGGGAAGAAAAAAAUGACGGUACCAACAGAAGAAGUGACGGCUAAAUACGUGCCAGCAGCCGCGGUAAUACGUAUGUCACAAGCGUUAUCCGGAUUUAUUGGGCGUAAAGCGCGUCUAGGUGGUUAUGUAAGUCUGAUGUGAAAAUGCAGGGCUCAACUCUGUAUUGCGUUGGAAACUGCAUGACUAGAGUACUGGAGAGGUAAGCGGAACUACAAGUGUAGAGGUGAAAUUCGUAGAUAUUUGUAGGAAUGCCGAUGGGGAAGCCAGCUUACUGGACAGAUACUGACGCUAAAGCGCGAAAGCGUGGGCAGCAAACAGGAUUAGAUACCCUGGUAGUCCACGCCGUAAACGAUGAUUACUAGGUGUUGGGGGUCGAACCUCAGCGCCCGAGCUAACUCGAUAAGUAUCCGCCUGGGAGUACGUACGCAAGUAUGAACUC
This 815-nucleotide ribosomal RNA is filed under the name uncultured Fusobacterium sp. Its description in RNAcentral is "bacterial SSU rRNA". It matches the Rfam family "Bacterial small subunit ribosomal RNA", at positions 55 to 902 of the family's 1533-position model. Lineage: Bacteria; Fusobacteriati; Fusobacteriota; Fusobacteriia; Fusobacteriales; Fusobacteriaceae. The record is from RNAcentral.